CACAAACGUUCCUGUAAUUGACGCUUUGAACGCAAUACUGGAAGCUUCUGACUCGGACAUCAUUCUGCACUUUAAAGAAACAAAUGUUCAGGGUGUCACCACGGCACAGAUCAGGGCACCGCGGGGCACUGGACUGUUUCGAGUGGCAGUAGAUGGCCGUAACCUAAAUAUGACGCAUCCCUUGAUGGCUCAGACCAUAGCUCAGGCACGCCAGGUCCGUCGUAUAUCACACAAUGUGAUGGUGCUGGUCACGAGCGAUGAUCCAGCUUUCCUGUCCCUCUUCGCGCACUGGUCACUGAAGGGCCGCCUACUGGUGUGGGCAACCAAGCUUCUUGUCUUUACUCGCGUACCACUCUAUAACGUGCGUCUGUUGCACAAAGCCUUGUCACAGACAAACUCUUUACUACUUACGCAAGGAACAACCAGCCAAAGGUACUCACUAGAAAUUAACUCCCGUAGGCUGCCUAAG
Long non-coding RNA from Scylla paramamosain (green mud crab), 469 nucleotides. RefSeq lists it as uncharacterized. Lineage: Eukaryota; Metazoa; Arthropoda; Malacostraca; Decapoda; Portunidae. The transcript is spliced from 3 exons. The record is from RefSeq and is a predicted model, not a curated record.